CCUACGGGGGGCAGCAGUGGGGGAUAUUGCACAAUGGGGGGAACCCUGAUGCAGCGACGCCGCGUGGGUGAAGGAGCGUUUCGGCGCGUAAAGCCCUAUCGGCAGGGAAGAAGGAGGACGGUACCUGACUAAGAAGCCCCGGCUAACUACGUGCCAGCAGCCGCGGUAAUACGUAGGGGGCAAGCGUUAUCCGGAUUUACUGGGUGUAAAGGGAGCGUAGACGGUAGAGCAAGUCUGAAGUGAAAGCCCGCGGCUCAACUGCGGGACUGCUUUGGAAACUGUUCAACUGGAGUGCUGGAGAGGGA
This 305-nucleotide ribosomal RNA is filed under the name uncultured bacterium. RNAcentral describes it as "bacterial SSU rRNA". It matches the Rfam family "Bacterial small subunit ribosomal RNA", at positions 338 to 659 of the family's 1533-position model. The record is from RNAcentral.